CAUUUUGCACGGGCGAAAGCCUGACGCAGCGACGCCGCGUGAGGGAUGAAGGCCUUCGGGUCGUAAACCUCUGUCAGGAGGGAAUAACCGCCAUGGUGCUAAUCAGCCAUGGUCUGACGGUACCUCCAAAGGAAGCACCGGCUAACUCCGUGCCAGCAGCCGCGGUAAUA
This 170-nucleotide ribosomal RNA is filed under the name uncultured bacterium. RNAcentral's name for it is "partial 16S rRNA". It matches the Rfam family "Bacterial small subunit ribosomal RNA", at positions 359 to 525 of the family's 1533-position model. The record is from RNAcentral.